Molecule: long non-coding RNA, 1478 nt
Organism: Nycticebus coucang (slow loris)
Lineage: Eukaryota; Metazoa; Chordata; Mammalia; Primates; Lorisidae
Exons: 4
Source: RefSeq, a predicted model, not a curated record
AAUCGCUUUACCUUGCAGAAAUGUGCUGGCAGCAUCCUGUAAAAUCUUUGAGGAAGCUUAUCCAUUGUCAUUAACUUUGGAAGAUUCAUGGAGCUCUAAAAGACAUAAAAAAAAAGAAAUAGGAAGCUCUGCCUUAAAGAAACAAGCAGGAAGAAAAACGAAGGGACACACCAUCAUGGACAGGCUUUGCAGAAAUUUCCAAAGUUAAUAUCUCCCUAAGGAAGGGUGAGUCUUCACAUCUGCUGUCGUAUGGCUACACCAGGAUUUUGAAGGCCCAAGGAACUUCUCACCCCGCAGCAUUUAGACUUUGCUUGUCUGGAGGCAAGAGGCCCCACUAGGGCUGGAGAGCCAGAAGAGCAACCGGCUAUAAUCUUCUGUGUGCAGAGUGGCCUCUGGAGUCCCUUCACCUGGCUGGAGAUUUCAAAAGAUGCUACAAAUGGAGCAGGUGGGUCAUGGAUAAUAAGAUCCCCACCCUCCAGGAGCCUGAAGUGUGGGAAGCAGACCGUCUUGUCUUCCAGCACCUACUGUAGAUGUGCAAAUGACCACGUAUCACUAUGGACGUGACAUACAGAGCAGAUGUUCUGGUACUUGUUACCAUGUUAUCAUGUUAAGCACUUUCAUGUUCACUGAAUGGGUUGCUUGUUCUGUCUGUACCACUUGCUGUGUGCUAUGCUCCUGUCCCCCUUCCCAGCUGUGUUUAUUCUGUGUUCCAAGUCUGGAAUUUCCACAUUCACUGAGACGCUGUUCUAUUCUCAAGGCGUUUUCUAAUCUUGACUUUUCUUUGAUUUUGUUAGAUUUCCCUGAUUUCUUUUCUUUCUUAAAUUAUUAUUGCAGUUAUCUGCAGAAUAUAAUAUAGCUGUUAAUUAUUUUCUGGUUGAUUCAUGCAUCCUAUUCCAGCCUCUGCAGGAACCUUAUUUUGUACAUUAAUUUUUAGCAUCCCACCGUGCCAAGCACAGUUCCAGGCACAUCAGAUUCUUCACAAAUGUUCAUUUGGUCCUCCUGACUGACUCCUUCCCUUCCUCCAUUCUGGCAUUGAUUUAUCAAGAUGAAAAGUAAAAACAUUUUUGUUAUGGAAGUUUUCCUCUUCUAUGUAAUGCCAAGUAUUCAAAUGUCCUUAAACAUCUGGGAAUUUGGAAGAAAUCUGUUUGGCCCAUUAUUGAAACACACGUAGACAUUGUCUUUCCAUCCAGUGUUGGGGCAAGUUUCAUAAACAAGCAAAAUGUCCCAGGGGUAAGAAACAUGUGGCUCUCUUGGGUUAGAUUUUAUUUAAAAAGGUAUAACCCUUUUACAUAGAAAAUAUUUGUGAUUAUGACAUGAAAAAGCGACUGUGAACACUUGAUAAAGAAUUACUGAUGGAGGAGGGGAUAGGAGAUUGUGGAAGAGGCCAUAGUUUCCGUUAAGAUGAGUAAAUUCUGGGGAUCCGCUGUUCAGCGUGGUGACCAUCAUUAAUAAUGAAGCGCUAGAAACUUCAGAACUGG